Molecule: ribosomal RNA, 427 nt
Filed under: uncultured bacterium
Lineage: Bacteria
Description: bacterial SSU rRNA
Rfam family: Bacterial small subunit ribosomal RNA
Source: RNAcentral
AACGCGAAGAACCUUACCAGGUCUUGACAUCGAUCUAAAAGGGAUGGAGACAUCCUCAUAGCUAUAGAGAAGACAGGUGGUGCAUGGUUGUCGUCAGCUCGUGUCGUGAGAUGUUGGGUUAAGUCCCGCAACGAGCGCAACCCCUGUCGUCAGUUACUAACAUUCAGUUGAGGACUCUGGCGAGAAUGCCGAGGUUAACUCGGAGGAAGGUGGGGAUGACGUCAAAUCAUCAUGCCCCUUAUGUUCUGGGCUACACACGUGCUACAAUGGUCGGUACAAUGAGAGGCAAACCUGUGAGGGGGAGCAAAUCACCAAAACCGAUCCCAGUUCGGAUUGUAGGCUGAAACUCGCCUACAUGAAGUUGGAGUUGCUAGUAAUCGCAGAUCAGAAUGCUGCGGUGAAUGCGUUCCCGGGUCUUUACACACCG